AAUGCAAAACUUUUGGCAAAACAAACAAAAAAAUCCAUGUAUUCAAAUUUUCUGAGCUUCAAGGAGACUUAAAACAAUGGACAGAUAAUGCAAAGUCUUUACAUCUUUGAAUCCAGAAAACGUGAAGUUAUUAACAUUACCAGAAUCCUCCAUCAACCUGGGCAGCUUUGUGUUACACUGACACCAUCUUGAUCUAUAUCGCUGAAACCUACACGAGGGAGAGUGGGAACAAAAAGGUGUAUUUAUAGAAAAACAUUGGAGCAGUGGACCUGGAAACCAGUGGAAAAUAAGGUUCAGAAGUGUCAAGUAGCCUGCCAUCCCAGGAAUGUGAGCACAAGCAAGAAAUCAGACGCCGCCCACAUGGCCUGGGAACUGGCAACUUCCUGCAGCACAGACGCUAUCCCUACCAUCUUUCAGGAGUUCUCCCUACAUGAAAGUUGGUAAAAGAAGGCAGGGCCCAGCUUGUUUAGCCUCAGCAAUGAGUGCAUGUAUUGCUAGGCUCAAAUUUCUCAGCGUCCUCUGCCUGCUGCAAAUGACCAUGAAAGUGAUAAUAAACUGGACAGAAACACAGAAGGUAUUCCCCUUUUGGAGCAUUUGAAAACAAGCAAAGCAAAAUUGUAACCGCAAGAGAUGAGAAAAUACAAGAUGAAGUGAAGCGGGUGUUUGCCUGGUUUCUGGCCUGAGACCUUUUCUGACUGAGGCUCCAGGGUGCCACAGUAACCAGAAAUGGACACUGGGAAGAUCCAGAGAGAGAAGUUAUUUGUUAAUGUCAACAGACCAUGAGACUUAGUAUACCUGACACAAGAGACGUUAUUUGGAGUUAACACGCAUGGUCCCCACACUGUAUGUAUGCACUGGAAGCUACUGCCAGAGCACAAACAGAAAAUGAUGGCAUUUGGAAGUAAAAGUCAAACCUUCAUUGUUUACUCUGGCAGUGACUAAUAAACCAAGGAAUAAAAUUCCUACUGUUAGUCACAAGGUACACCAGUGCUGGACAAAGACCUGCACUGGGUUAAUGGGGAGAUCUGGCUCAUAAAAGGUGGUCUUCUGGGGCUAGGGAGGUUGCUCGGUGGUUAAAGUGCUUACUACUCUAGCAGAAGACCUGAGGUCUGUUCCCAGCACAUGCAGCUUACAACCACCUGUUAACUCCAGGUCCAGAUCAGACUGCUCUGGCUUCUUCUGAUACCUGCUCUCUCUCUCUCUCUCUCUCUCUCUCUCUCUCUCUC
Molecule: non-coding RNA, 1226 nt
Organism: Peromyscus maniculatus bairdii (prairie deer mouse)
Lineage: Eukaryota; Metazoa; Chordata; Mammalia; Rodentia; Cricetidae
Source: RefSeq, a predicted model, not a curated record